This 253-nucleotide ribosomal RNA is filed under the name uncultured bacterium. RNAcentral describes it as "partial 16S ribosomal RNA". It matches the Rfam family "Bacterial small subunit ribosomal RNA", at positions 524 to 776 of the family's 1533-position model. The record is from RNAcentral.
UACAGAGGGGGCUAGCGUUGUUCGGAAUUACUGGGCGUAAAGGGCGCGUAGGCGGCCUAUUAAGUUAGAAGUGAAAUCCCGAAGCUUAACUUCGGAAUUGCUUUUAAUACUGGUAGGCUAGAAAUUGGUAGGGGAUAGUGGAAUUCCUAGUGUAGGAGUGAAAUCCGUAGAUAUUAGGAGGAACACCAGUGGCGAAGGCGGCUACCUGGAUUGACACUGACACUGAGGCGCGAGAGCGUGGGGAGCAAACAGG